GAUGAACGCUGGCGGCGUGCCUAAUACAUGCAAGUCGAGCGAACAGACGAGGAGCUUGCUCCUCUGACGUUAGCGGCGGACGGGUGAGUAACACGUGGAUAACCUACCUAUAAGACUGGGAUAACUUCGGGAAACCGGAGCUAAUACCGGAUAAUAUAUUGAACCGCAUGGUUCAAUAGUGAAAGACGGUUUUGCUGUCACUUAUAGAUGGAUCCGCGCCGCAUUAGCUAGUUGGUAAUGUAACGGCUUACCAAGGCGACGAUGCGUAGCCGACCUGAGAGGGUGAUCGGCCACACUGGAACUGAGACACGGUCCAGACUCCUACGGGAGGCAGCAGUAGGGAAUCUUCCGCAAUGGGCGAAAGCUUGACGGAGCAACGCCGCGUGAGUGAUGAAGGUCUUCGGAUCGUAAAACUCUGUUAUUAGGGAAGAACAAAUGUGUAAGUAACUAUGCACGUCUUGACGGUACCUAAUCAGAAAGCCACGGCUAACUACGUG
This 497-nucleotide ribosomal RNA is filed under the name uncultured bacterium. Its description in RNAcentral is "partial 16S ribosomal RNA". It matches the Rfam family "Bacterial small subunit ribosomal RNA", at positions 28 to 507 of the family's 1533-position model. The record is from RNAcentral.